Molecule: ribosomal RNA, 207 nt
Filed under: uncultured bacterium
Lineage: Bacteria
Description: partial 16S ribosomal RNA
Rfam family: Bacterial small subunit ribosomal RNA
Source: RNAcentral
UGCGUAGGCGGGUUUCUAAGUCAGAGGUGAAAGCCUGGAGCUCAACUCCAGAACUGCCUUUGAUACUGGAAGUCUUGAGUUCGGGAGAGGUGAGUGGAACUGCGAGUGUAGAGGUGAAAUUCGUAGAUAUUCGCAAGAACACCAGUGGCGAAGGCGGCUCACUGGCCCGAUACUGACGCUGAGGCACGAAAGCGUGGGGAGCAAACA